This 451-nucleotide ribosomal RNA is filed under the name uncultured organism. RNAcentral's name for it is "partial 16S ribosomal RNA". It matches the Rfam family "Bacterial small subunit ribosomal RNA", at positions 333 to 800 of the family's 1533-position model. The record is from RNAcentral.
ACACUCCUGCGGGAGGCAGCAGUGGGGAAUAUUGGACAAUGGGCGCAAGCCUGAUCCAGCCAUGCCGCGUGAGUGAUGAAGGCCCUAGGGUUGUAAAGCUCUUUCACCGGUGAAGAUAAUGACGGUAACCGGAGAAGAAGCCCCGGCUAACUUCGUGCCAGCAGCCGCGGUAAUACGAAGGGGGCUAGCGUUGUUCGGAUUUACUGGGCGUAAAGCGCACGUAGGCGGACUAUUAAGUCAGGGGUGAAAUCCCGGGACUCAACCCCGGAACUGCCUUUGAUACUGGUAGUCUUGAGUUCGAGAGAGGUGAGUGGAAUUCCGAGUGUAGAGGUGAAAUUCGUAGAUAUUCGGAGGAACACCAGUGGCGAAGGCGGCUCACUGGCUCGAUACUGACGCUGAGGUGCGAAAGCGUGGGGAGCAAACAGGAUUAGAUACCCGUGUAGUCCCAUGA